UGGGGAAUUUUGGACAAUGGGCGAAAGCCUGAUCCAGCAAUGCCGCGUGUGUGAAGAAGGCCUUCGGGUUGUAAAGCACUUUUGUCCGGAAAGAAAUCCUUGGCUCUAAUACAGUCGGGGGAUGACGGUACCGGAAGAAUAAGCACCGGCUAACUACGUGCCAGCAGCCGCGGUAAUACGUAGGGUGCAAGCGUUAAUCGGAAUUACUGGGCGUAAAGCGUGCGCAGGCGGUUUGCUAAGACCGAUGUGAAAUCCCCGGGCUCAACCUGGGAACUGCAUUGGUGACUGGCAGGCUAGAGUAUGGCAGAGGGGGGUAGAAUUCCACGUGUAGCAGUGAAAUGCGUAGAGAUGUGGAGGAAUACCGAUGGCGAAAGGCAGCCCCCUGGGCCAAAUACUGACGCUCAUGCACGAAAGCGUGGGGGAGCAAAACAGGAUUAGAUACCCUGGUAGUCCACGCCCUAAACGAUGUCAACUAGUUGUUGGGGAUUCAUUUCCUUAGUAACGUAGCUAACGCGUGAAGUUGACCGCCU
This 530-nucleotide ribosomal RNA is filed under the name uncultured bacterium. RNAcentral describes it as "partial 16S ribosomal RNA". It matches the Rfam family "Bacterial small subunit ribosomal RNA", at positions 355 to 874 of the family's 1533-position model. The record is from RNAcentral.